Molecule: ribosomal RNA, 505 nt
Filed under: Bombus terrestris (buff-tailed bumblebee)
Lineage: Eukaryota; Metazoa; Arthropoda; Insecta; Hymenoptera; Apidae
Description: partial 16S ribosomal RNA
Rfam family: Bacterial large subunit ribosomal RNA (bases 382-505)
Source: RNAcentral
GUCUUAUUGAAUAAUAAUUUUAAGUCAAUUCUGCCCAAUGAUUUUAAAUAAUUAAAUGGCUGCGGUAUAAUUGACUGUACAAAGGUAGCAUAAUCAAUUGUUUUUUAAUUAAAAACUGGAAUGAAAGAGUUAAUGAGAUAUACCCUGUCUCAUAUAUAUUAAAUUAAUUUAAAUUUUUAGUUAAAAUGCUAAAAUUAAUUUAUGGGACGAUAAGACCCUAUAGAAUUUUAUAUUAAUAUUUUAAUUAUAAUUUUAUUAUUGAAUAUUAAUAUUUUGUUGGGAGGAUAGGUAAAUUUAUUAAACUUUAUUUUAAAUAUUAACUUUAAUUAAAGAAUAUAUUUUGAUCUUUUAGUAAAAAUGAAAAGAGUAAAUUACCUUAGGGAUAACAGCGUAAUAUCUUUUUAAAGAUCUUAUUGAAAAAGAUGAUUGCGACCUCGAUGUUGAAUUAAGAUAAAUUUUAAAUGAAGAAAUUUAAUAAUUAAGUCUGUUCGACUUUUAAAAUCUC